UUUUCUUCGGAAAAUGAGUAAAGUGGCGAACGGGUGAGUAACACGUGGGUAAUCUGCCCUUAGGUUGGGAACAACACUUCUAACGAGGUGCUAAUACCGAAUAACAAACUGGAACAUAAGUUCCAAUUUUAAAGGUGGCCUCUACUUGUAAGCUGCCGCCUGAGGAUGAGCCCGCGCCGUAUUAGCUUGUUGGUGGGGUAAUGGCCUACCAAAGCAACGAUGCGUAGCCGGCCUGAGAGGGUGAACGGCCACACUGGAACUGAGACAAGGUCCAGUCUUCUACGGAAGCCAGCAGUCUAGAAAUUUGCACAAUCGUCGAAAGACGGAUGCAGCGACACCACGUGGAGGAUGACGCCCUUCGGGGUGUAAACUCCUGUCAGUUGGGACGAAGGCGCAGGUGUUAAUACCACCUGUUGCUUGACGGUACCAUCAGAGGAAGCUCCGGCAAACUACGUGCCAGCAGCCGCGGUAAUACGUAGGGAGCGAGCGUUGUUCGGAUUUACUGGGCGUAAAGAGCACGUAGGCGGGCAUGCAAGUCGGUUGUGAAAUCCUCUGGCUCAACCAGAGAACUGCAAUCGAAACUGCAUGCCUUGAGUCCAGCAGAGGAAAUCGGAAUCUUAGGUGUAGCGGUGAAAUGCUUAGAUAUCUAAGAGAACACCAGUGGCGAAGGCGGAUUUCUGGGCUGGCACUGACGCUGAGGUGCGAAAGCUGAGGGAGCGAACAGGAUUAGAUACCCUGGUAGUCUCAGCCGUAAACGAUGGGUACUAGGUGUUGGGGGACAUUGACCCCCUCAGUGCCGUAGCUAACGCAUUAAGUACCCCGCCUGGGGAGUAC
Molecule: ribosomal RNA, 834 nt
Filed under: uncultured bacterium
Lineage: Bacteria
Description: SSU rRNA
Rfam family: Bacterial small subunit ribosomal RNA
Source: RNAcentral